AGAGGCAGAUUUUGGAUUUAGAAAACUCUUAGCAAAAUCUUCCUGUGGCUUCUGAAGAAACAGUAGAUUCACUCGGAGGAUCAGCAUUCUCCUCAGGUGAGGAAGCUAAGGUCCAGAAUUGGAGCUGGCAGUAGUACAUCAGGAGUCCAGAUUCCAGUGAAUCCGAAAGGGCAUCCCCACAGCAGCUUCUGUGGUACCUGCAUGAUUCCUGUGGACUGAAUCCUGCCUUUGACUGAUUGCAAGAGAAAAAGUGGAACACAGAGCUGAGGACCGAACCCAGGGCCUUGCGCUUGCUAGGCAAGCACUCUACCACUGAGCUAAAUCCCCAACCCCGCUAUGUUAUUCUUAAUAGGAGGAACCAGGAUCCUAUUCAAUGCUCCUGUUAGUCAGCUUUCCAUUGCUGCAAUGAGAUACGUGAGAUGUGCUCACAGUGGGGACUGAAUGUCAACACCUGAAGCCUUGAGGGGUACAAUUGAAUUCUAUCCAAAACAUAGUAGUUGAGCCUCAAACACGAGGGCUGAUCAGCUGUCCCUAUUCCGUUGUUUCUGCUGGACAACAGGAGUCCUAUAGCAGGCAAAUAGCUGCCAAAACUGAGGAAUCUGCUGUGUGACUUCAAAGUAUAGAGAUGAAAAGUUAUGGCCCACUCAGAAAACUGAUGUUGGGCCAGUCCAGUCUGUCUAAAAGGGUCAUACAAGAAUUCUCAAGACACUACCAUUGCUGUAUGACUUUCAGAAAAUUGCCUUGCUAUGGAAGUAAUCAAUAGGAACAAAGCAAUAGAACACUUUCUUUAACAGAGGAGUUAGAUCUUCACAUAGGCUGGCCCAGCACAAAGAUCAGGGCCAUGGAUGUUACAUGCAAAAUGCAGCAUUGGAAACUCAAGGGUAAAACACAUUCCAAAUAAACAGAGCUUCAUCAUGGGCCUGCUAAUAUCCUGGAAACAUCGACAAACACAUAGAUCCAUACUCUCAGUUGGAUUGCCCAAUGCAGUCCAUCUCAAACUCAGGAGUAGACUCUGUUUCCUGCUCUGAGCAGUGUUCUCUCUGUGCAACUCACACAGACUCCACCAACCUUGGGGAAGAGAGGUUCAAGUCAGAAGAAGAGGCUCGUGGGAAGCAGACUUUGGUCCUAGCAGUUCCUUUUCCUUAACAGUGUGUAUGUGUGUGUACAUACUGUAGGUGUAUGCAUGGGUAUAUGGGAGCCAGAGGCCAAUAUCAGGGACUAAAUGAGGUGUGCACAUAGCAUCAACUUCUUCCCUGCACACAUGAAUGCAUGCAUACAUGUGAAGUUGUUCAUCAAAACGGUAAGCGAAGCUGCAUGGAUACACAUGUACAGCCACUCUGGUAGGAGUGUCUGGGAAUGCAUCCUGUUGGGAAAUGGCUGCUUAGCAUUGGUGGAGGUCGGAGAAAGGAGUUGGAUCAGGGACUUGACUCUCAGUUCCUGUUCUUACUUGAAACAGUGUCUGGCCUUGGGAAAAAAAAACUAUUUCCUUUAUCUGUAAGGAUGAUAAAUGCUUCUCUAGUCACAAAAAUAUUCUAAUAAAAUGGGAGCUCAUUUCUCCCUUUUGUGAAUGGAGACAGGAAAGCUAUACUUAUCUGAAAAUGUGUGCCAUUUGGUCCCAAGUCAAGUAUACCACUUCUAGAUGCAUUGUUUGAAUUAAGUUUCACAUCAUUUGAUAAGAUAAACAUUUUAUUUUCCU
Molecule: long non-coding RNA, 1696 nt
Filed under: Mus musculus (house mouse)
Lineage: Eukaryota; Metazoa; Chordata; Mammalia; Rodentia; Muridae
Description: predicted gene, 50024
Source: RNAcentral